CUGCCUGGUAGUGGGGGAUAACGUCUGGAAACGGAGCCUAAUACCGCAUACGUCCUACGGGAGAAAGUGGGGGACCUUCGGACCUUGCGCUAUCAGAUGAGCCUAGGUCGGAUUAGCUAGUUGGUGGGGUAAUGGCUCACCAAGGCGACGAUCCGUAACUGGUCUGAGAGGAUGAUCAGUCACACUGGAACUGAGACACGGUCCAGACUCCUACGGGAGGCAGCAGUGGGGAAUAUUGGACAAUGGGCGAAAGCCUGAUCCAGCCAUGCCGCGUGUGUGAAGAAGGUCUUCGGAUUGUAAAGCACUUUAAGUUGGGAGGAAGGGUUGUAGAUUAAUACUCUGCAAUUUUGACGUUACCGACAGAAUAAGCACCGGCUAACUCUGUGCCAGCAGCCGCGGUAAUACCGAGGGUGCAAGCGUUAAUCGGAAUUACUGGGCGUAAAGCGCGCGUAGGUGGUUUGUUAAGUUGGAUGUGAAAUCCCCGGGCUCAACCUGGGAACUGCAUUCAAAACUGACUGACUAGAGUAUGGUAGAGGGUGGUGGAAUUUCCU
Molecule: ribosomal RNA, 551 nt
Filed under: uncultured Pseudomonas sp.
Lineage: Bacteria; Pseudomonadati; Pseudomonadota; Gammaproteobacteria; Pseudomonadales; Pseudomonadaceae
Description: bacterial SSU rRNA
Rfam family: Bacterial small subunit ribosomal RNA
Source: RNAcentral